This is a long non-coding RNA of Numida meleagris (helmeted guineafowl), 1678 nucleotides long. NCBI's taxonomy places the organism in Eukaryota, Metazoa, Chordata, Aves, Galliformes, Numididae. The record is from Ensembl.
AAAUUCCUGCUGAUUAUUGCCCAACCUCUGCUGCAGCACAUGAAGUAGGUGAAGGCAUGCGGCCUGGUCCACCUAUCACACACCAUCUUCUGGGACAGCAUCUGCAGUCUGGGACCCCAUGAGGUGAAAAGCUUCCCAUCUGUCUUGUAAUUUGGCAGAAACUGUGUUCAACUCUUUGCUCACUACUGGCCAGGGGCAGGUGAACCUUCAGAGAGGUUCAGAAAGAAGGAGGAAAGGAAGGAAGGAAGCUCUGAUAUUGCUGAAGAAAAGCCAUAGCACACACCCUGAGAUCACCACUUCCAUCGGGAAUUGACAGGAGGAACGGUAUGGUCCUUCUCCCUUCCCCAUAUCACAAGAUAACACUAGCUGCCCAAAUUUAGAGCACUCUACCAUCACAGGUGGCCUUGGGUGACUGUGGUGGCUGGAUCUGAAUUGCCACCUGAAGCCUGUGGCCCCCAAGCCUGCUAAACCCCACCAGAGAGAAACAAGCACUGACUGGUGCCAAUGUAGAGAGCAGAGCCUGUAAUGACUGGGGCAUGGAGGGGCUGAUGGGGUGUGCGAACUGACCCAGGGCAGAUCUCCCGGGGUCAGGGCAUUGCUCUUUUGCUCUGCCCUCAUUCCUUCACCACUAGGAAAUGGUUCUGUACCAAAAUCAUGGACUCAUCCUUCUUUCUUCCUCCUGCCUUCCUUUGUGUGGUCAUCAAUGGAACAGCAAUCGCUGCAGGAUGGGCAUGGUAAAUUCCACUCAGAUUUGGCUGAGGUGAUUUGUUGCAGCCUUUGCACACCAACAGAGGAAUUCCUGAUAUCCUGCAAAGCUCUGCACCUCCAAAUCUGAUGACAGCUCUGCACUUUUUGCCUAGCGAUUGCUUGCAUUUUUGAGACAGAAGAAGCCUGUCAGUGGAAUCAGGGCAUAGGUGACUUGGUUACUGGUUCAUCAGCAGCUUAAAUUUACAGCGUUAAAAUUCAGAGUGCUCCUUUUUGAAAGACCGACUCCAGCUGAAGCAAAUGGGCCUGCUGAAAGCUGAAGCGUUUUGCAACCAACAACCAUUCGCCUGGUGACACAGAGUGGUGAGGCACUGGAACGGGCUGCGCAGGGAAGUCACCAUCCCUGGAGGUGCUCAAGAACCAUGGAUAUGGCUGGCAGUUGUGCUUCCUAGGUGUGUGAGAGGUAUGACACACACUGUGCCACUCUGCCAGUGCCCCCACUUCACCAGCAGCAGCAUCUUCAAUAGACCUUGGGCUGGUUAGCUCUGGAGUGCUGUACCAAGAACAGAUGCCUGCUGGAUCUGUUUCAGGAAUCGUCAGAAAUAGGACGUUACGCCGAGUUUUUUAUCAGUAGCUUGCCUUGUCAUCCAUGUGACAAGCACAUCACAGAUCUUCAAGGGAUACUAAUUACUCACUUAAAUGAGAUUAAGUUGAAGAUGCUGGCAAAGCCAUUUGACGGCUAUAAUUGCUGUCCUCCUGUUUGCUCAGCGCCUUUAGCUGGAGUUUGGGCAGGACUGGUGAGAAUCCAGGAUCACUCACGGGUGUGAGUGUGAGUCACAUUUCCCCGGCUUCCUGCAUGGCCUCUGCAGAUUUCAAGUGCAAGCCAGGCGGAAAAAGGAGAAAGCUUAAAGCCGCUUCCUCCAACAGAAAAUCCUUUAUAUCGCUGAGGUGUUUCAGCAUUCUUGGGGUGGCU